Molecule: non-coding RNA, 123 nt
Filed under: Cebus imitator (Panamanian white-faced capuchin)
Lineage: Eukaryota; Metazoa; Chordata; Mammalia; Primates; Cebidae
Description: Small Cajal body specific RNA 16 (ENSCCAG00000012088.1)
Rfam family: Small Cajal body specific RNA 16
About the family: scaRNAs are a specific class of small nuclear RNAs which localise to the Cajal bodies and guide the modification of RNA polymerase II transcribed spliceosomal RNAs U1, U2, U4, U5 and U12. ACA47 belongs to the H/ACA box class of guide RNAs as it has the predicted hairpin-hinge-hairpin-tail structure, the conserved H/ACA-box motifs and is found associated with GAR1.
Source: RNAcentral
AGAGCCUGAGCCUGACCCAAAGUAAAUUCCCAGGAGACAUCUUUCCUGGGUUUUGAAUUUGCUGAAACAGGCAUGAGCAUUUUCGCAGCAGUUUGGUGAUCACGCAUGAUACUGCAAACAGGA